UAGGGCUAUGAUCAGUGCAACGCAGAGGAUCAGGACACAAUAGAUCUAGAUGUAUGGGACGUUAUCGUGCCACCAGCCUGACAAGAAUCAGCGUUUUCAGAGAGCCAUCUUAACUUAUGCUUUUACUCGACUAUCUGCACAAGUCAUUUCAGCAUUGAUGUACGUGACUUUGCAAUGCAAAAUAAGUGCACAUGAGCUGUGUCCCACUCAUGCGUGGCUAUCUUGAGGUCCUGCAGUAUUUAUCGUGAAAACUGGAGGUUCUGCCCCAUCAAGAGAGUGUACUCGCAUCGUUGACUGGGCAUUAUGGAUGAUAAUGGAGACUUUGAAGUUCUAGACUCGCCUCCUGACUUGCCUAUCUCGGCUCCUGGUGAUGCCCGAGUCCGCUGCAUGUCUUGAUCGUCCAUGCUCUCCUGUAAAGGAAGCACUGCAUUAAUCUUCUACUGCCAGCUAUUCAAUCCUCUGUGACUCGUCUUGUCGUAAGGGGAAAGUGAGAUCCUGCAGAUCUGACGGAGGAUCAGCUCCAGGAGCUGGCAUACACACUCUUCUCUGCCUACUGCGGCCCUCAUGCCACUUCCUCACUCCGAAUUUUUGUGAGGCAACAGCUAGAG
Molecule: long non-coding RNA, 608 nt
Filed under: Coccomyxa subellipsoidea
Lineage: Eukaryota; Viridiplantae; Chlorophyta; Trebouxiophyceae; Coccomyxaceae
Description: long non-coding RNA (CSUB_LNC000724)
Source: RNAcentral